This 372-nucleotide ribosomal RNA is filed under the name uncultured organism. RNAcentral's name for it is "bacterial SSU rRNA". It matches the Rfam family "Bacterial small subunit ribosomal RNA", at positions 526 to 896 of the family's 1533-position model. The record is from RNAcentral.
CAGAGGGUGCAAACGUUGCUCGGAAUCACUGGGCGUAAAGGGCGUGUAGGCGGGAAGGAAAGUCAGAUGUGAAAUCCCUGGGCUCAACCCAGGAACUGCAUUUGAAACUCCCUUUCUUGAGUGUCGGAGAGGAAAGUGGAGUUCCUGGUGUAGAGGUGAAAUUCGUAGAUAUCAGGAGGAACACCGGUGGCGAAGGCGGCUUUCUGGACGACAACUGACGCUGAGACGCGAAAGCGUGGGGAGCAAACAGGAUUAGAUACCCUGGUAGUCCACGCUGUAAACGAUGAACACUAGGUGUCGUGGGUAUUGACCCCCGCGGUGCCGCAGCUAACGCAUUAAGUGUUCCGCCUGGGAAGUACGGUCGCAAGACUA